AUAGAUUUGGCUAAAUCACUGGGUGUAACAUAUUGCAUUGUUGUGGAUUUGUGUUUCCAAAUAUUUACAAAGGCAUUCAUGUAUUCAUAGAAGUUAAAACUAUAAUACAAGACCAAAUAAAAGCAUGGAGAAAAGGAAAACACAAGGACAAUAAUUAAAGUUCAGACCACUGCUUUAGCCAAAUCUAUCUUAUCCAAAUCCAACUCGUAUGAUGAAACAAAAUGUUGAAAUCUUCUAUAGGCAUCAAAAAGUGUCAUCAAGGUGGUCUCAAUUCAAGAGGAAAGUGUAGACAUGGAAUGGAGAUUGCUGAUAAUGCUGUCGGUUAAUGAAUGUGAGCCACUGGUAGCCGCAAACUUCAGGUGUUUAGGGGCUUCAGCUCUAUCAAAAUAAAAUGCACCUGAGACUAGCUUUUCCUUCGGCUGUAAAGCUAGCCAAAUAACUGUGUCUGCACCUUGCUCGCUUGUUCUGAGAUUUCCUGAGAAUAACUUAUUAAAAUUAGGCAAACUCUUAGCAACUCCUGGCGUCGCAGCCCAACCUGGGUGCAUUGAGUAGAACGAGAUCCCUCUAUCCUUGUAAAUUUCAGCCCACUUCUCGGUUAAUGCCACCUGAACUCGCUUGUUGCGAGCAUACUGUUCCGACCCAUCAAAUUUCGCAUCACUAAAUUGUAGAUCAGCAGUCAAGGGAGCUGUGUACAUUCCACCAGAUGAAACUGUAAUCACUCGAGCAUCAGGUGCUGCUUUCUCUAACAAAGGCACCAUUGAUUCUGUCAUGGCGAAAGUGCCCAACACAUUCACAGCAAAAUUCAAUUCAAACCCUUCUGAUGUGGUGAUUCUUUUAUUCUCAAGCAAACCAGCAUUGUUAACCAAUACAUGAAUUGGAACUUCCUUUGAAGCAAAUUUAGAUGCAAAAGACUUGAUCUCACUAACAGAUGAAAGAUCACAAACCUCCAAGUGAACAUUUUGGUUUCCUGUUGUAGAUCGAAUUUUAGAAAGGGCAGCCUCCCCCCGUUCCUUGUUACGACAUACCAUAUAUACAUUUGCCCCACGUGAAGCAAGGCCCUCGGCAGUUGCGUAACCAAUGCCAGAAUUUGCUCCUGUAACUAUGCAAUUCUUCCCUUCAAUUCUAGACUGCAUAUCUUCUGGCUUGAAAUUUUUGGAAUGCUCCAAGAAGCCAGAUUUGGUGAAAUUGAAGUACCCACAAACACCAAAAGCAGUUGAUCUCCAUGUCUUAAGAAGGAACAUUUUGAAUAUGAAAGGGUUGCGGUGAUCAUAAGCAGUUUUUCUUGUUC
This 1288-nucleotide unclassified non-coding RNA is filed under the name Hevea brasiliensis (rubber tree). The record is from RNAcentral. Lineage: Eukaryota; Viridiplantae; Streptophyta; Magnoliopsida; Malpighiales; Euphorbiaceae.